AGUCGAGGGGCAGCACAGGUAGCAAUACCGGGUGGCGACCGGCGCACGGGUGAGUAACGCGUAUGCAACUUGCCUAUCAGAGGGGGAUAACCCGGCGAAAGUCGGACUAAUACCGCAUGAAGCAGGGGCCCCGCAUGGGGAUAUUUGCUAAAGAUUCAUCGCUGAUAGAUAGGCAUGCGUUCCAUUAGGCAGUUGGCGGGGUAACGGCCCACCAAACCGACGAUGGAUAGGGGUUCUGAGAGGAAGGUCCCCCACAUUGGUACUGAGACACGGACCAAACUCCUACGGGAGGCAGCAGUGAGGAAUAUUGGUCAAUGGGCGCGAGCCUGAACCAGCCAAGUCGCGUGAGGGAUGAAGGUUCUAUGGAUCGUAAACCUCUUUUAUAAGGGAAUAAAGUGCGGGACGUGUCCCGUUUUGUAUG
This 421-nucleotide ribosomal RNA is filed under the name uncultured bacterium. RNAcentral's name for it is "bacterial SSU rRNA". It matches the Rfam family "Bacterial small subunit ribosomal RNA", at positions 60 to 475 of the family's 1533-position model. The record is from RNAcentral.